This 433-nucleotide ribosomal RNA is filed under the name uncultured bacterium. RNAcentral describes it as "partial 16S ribosomal RNA". It matches the Rfam family "Bacterial small subunit ribosomal RNA", at positions 29 to 507 of the family's 1533-position model. The record is from RNAcentral.
AACGAACGCUGGCGGCAUGCCUAACACAUGCAAGUCGAACGAGACCUUCGGGUCUAGUGGCGCACGGGUGCGUAACGCGUUGGAACCUGCCCUUAGGUUCGGAAUAACUCCCCGAAAGGGGUGCUAAUACCGGAUAAUUUCUUCGGACCAAAGUUUUAUCGCCUUUGGAUGGGCCCGCGUUUGAUUAGCUAGUUGGUAGGGUAAAAGCCUACCAAGGCGACGAUCCAUAGCUGGUCUGAGAGGAUGAUCAGCCACACUGGGACUGAGACACGGCCCAGACUCCUACGGGAGGCAGCAGUGGGGAAUAUUGGAAAAUGGGCGAAAGCCUGAUCCAGCAAUGCCGCGUGAGUGAUGAAGGCCUUAGGGUUGUAAAGCUCUUUUACACGGGAUGAUAAUGACAGUACCGGGAGAAUAAGCUCCGGCUAACUCCGUG